RNAcentral lists this long non-coding RNA (1594 nucleotides) under Homo sapiens (human). RNAcentral describes it as "HSALNT0390246". Lineage: Eukaryota; Metazoa; Chordata; Mammalia; Primates; Hominidae. The record is from RNAcentral.
UCUAGGCUUGGUUGAGCCGCGCAGGAAGGUCCGAGGCUGGGGGAGCAGCCGUUGGCUCUGGUGCCCCUGGGGGUGGGAGCACGAGUGGGCAAGGAUGAUGGUGAGGCAGAGGAGGCGGCCCCGAGGGAGCGCCCGGCUGAGAGGCGGGGGGCCGAGGGGCCCGGGGAGCGGGCGUCACCGAGGGCCCUGGAAGCGGCAGGGCUGGGGGAGAGGAGACGCGUGUGUGGAGCAUGGGGACCCCAGCCCAGCUCCCACUUGCAGACCUGGGCCGCGGGCUGCCGGCCGAGUGGCCGGGGGGCCUGGCUGCCCAGGAGGCGGGCCGGGGCCGCGGCCGGGGGCGCGGAGCGGAGUUAGGGUCGCCAGGCCGAGCCGAGGUGGGACGGACCGACGCAGAGAGGAAGGGAAGCCACCUGGCCUGAAGAUCCUGUCUCUAAGAUCCCAUUCUGAGGCUGGAGUGCAAUCUUGACUCCCUGCAACCUCUGACUCCCAGGUUCAAGCGAUUCUCCUGCCUCAGCCUCCGAAGCAGCUGUGAGUGCAGGCAUGCGCCACUACGCCUGGCUAAUUUUUAGUUUUGCUCUUCUUGCCCAGGCUGGAGUGCAAUGGCAUGAUGUUGGCUCACCACAACCUCCACUUCCUGGGUUCAAGUGAUUCUCCUGCCUCAGCCUCCUGUGUAGCUGGGAUUACAGGCAUGCUCCACCACGACCGACUAAUUUUGCAUUUUUAGUAGAGACGGGAUUUCUCCAUGUUGUUCAUGUUGGUUUCGAACUCCCAACCUCAGGUGAUCUGCCUGCCUCCGCCUCCCAAAGUGCUGGGAUUACAGGUUGUGAGCCACUAUGCCCGGCCUCUCUUAAUCUAUUUCUGAGAGUUCUGUUACAUAUUCUGAUGUUUAAUCUUCAGUUAUAUGUAUUAGAUAUCUUCCACCAAAGUACAGUUUGCCUUUUAAUUUUAUUAGAUUUUCUAUUGCAUGUUGAAAAGUAGGUGAUAUUUUUGUGUCUUAUCUAAGAAAUACUUCCUGCUCUAAGUCCCGAAGAUGUUCUUUUAAGUUUGGCUGUUCAUGUUUAGCAAUUUGAAGUGCCAAAAUUUUGUAAUUAUAUCAUGAAGAAGGGAACUAAUUUUACUUUUUCCUUCUAAAGAACUGGCCAGUUUAGUACUAUUGAAUAGUUUCAUUUUUUCCCCACUGAUCUGAUUAAAAGAAAAUUUCCCGGUAUCUUUUAUGUAUCUAGUUCUACGUUUUGAGGCUCUCUACAGUUUUGCAGCAAAUCUGGCUAUCUGGUAAUGUGUAUUUGCAUCAUGCCUUCUUCCAAAUUUCUUGCUGUUGGUCCUUUAUGUCAUGUGAACUUUUGGAUCUGUUUCUCAGCUUUCAUUAAAAAUACUGUAGGCAAUUUGACUGGAAUUUCUUUGAAUUUAUAGAUGUUCAUGAGAAUCACCAUCCUUAAAAAAUGUAUCCUACCAUUUGUAUAGAGCUUCAUGCUUUCAGGCAUUACUGUUUUCUCUAUAAAGAUUUUAAAUAUAUCAUUAGUUUUGUCGUUGUUAUGAAUGAUACUUAAAAAAUGAAUAUUUUCUACUUUUUUAUUAGUUUUCAAAUAUUCUUUAC